UGAAUCCUAUAGCCAUGUAGAAAAUAGCUCUUUCCAAAGAGGAACUUUGGUUCUCUCUUGAUGAGUGCUAUGUAGGAAUGGACUGUGAUGCCCUCAAUGAGAGUGUGGUCCUGGAGGUGCUCUACCCGUGUCCUGCCACGCCCCUUAAUCACAGGACCUGAGUUGCAAAGGCUCCCCACCUCCAGCCACACCAUUGCAACCUCGUUCCGAGGCCAGCAUUGGGACAGUUGCAGGAUUCACCAGAGCACAGCUUCCAGGUGCAAAAUCCUGCACCCUGGGGACCCCAGUGAGAGAUGGUUUAGAUGUGGGGAUGGUUGAGGAAAAGUAAUAUUCUGUGGUCCCAAGAGUAUGUGGCAGAAGAGAGGGGUUACCUUUCUAGACUAAUGCCUCCACAAGACUGGUCCUUGUCUUGCCAGAAGCAGUUGCUACAGUGGACUUCACAUAGUCAUAGCAUUUCCUAGAGGUGUCAUCUGGGAUCUCCACCAAGCAGGGACACCAUCCAUCUGACCCCAACUUGAGCAAUAGCUUGGUCAUUUCUCAGCUCCUAGUUGUGGCUUUGCUUAUAAGGCUACCUAUUUUGACCUCUGACAAGUGUUACCGAUUGUCCCCCUGCCCUCCUGCCCUACUUCACAAAAGGUCAUUUGGUCAGAGACAUUGCUGGAAAGUUAAUGUGCGGCCAUGUUGUGAUCAAUAAGAAGUAUUCUCUGGGUCAUUUUUUAGAAAGGGUUUUCUUUGCUUUUACAGACAUUUUCUGAAAACAUUUCAAAGAGACGGAACUUGUGCCAGAGCUUGCAGCCAACUUAAAAACAUGCCUUGAGAUCACUUAAGAUUAUGUACUUAACAUAAAAUAAUUAAUAAUUUGUUUUUUUUUUAAAGGGAUGUUCUUAGCCUGCUAUCCUUCUACAGGCUCACUGUUUUUAAUUUUUAACUUGCUUUUCAGAAGACAAUGUAACCAGCCUUACUAUACUUUGGAUAUCCCAUGCAAUGGGCUUUUAUAAUGUAAGUGCACGAAUUUAAUGUGUUCUUCCAUGCCUCUGAACCAGAACAAUGUGUGUGUGCAUUGUGGUUGGUAAUCAUUUGCCAAAAGGUUGAAAGCAAUCCAAAACAAAGAAAAUAGUGUGUAAUCAAUGGAAGUAAUAUAUACACAUAGAUGAUAAUAUUUGUUUACAGUUUUGAGUGCUAUUCUAGGUGAAAAGGGAAUCAAUAAAGUGACUUAUUUCCUUGC
This 1225-nucleotide long non-coding RNA is filed under the name Mus musculus (house mouse). RNAcentral describes it as "long non-coding RNA chr6:12636519-12637744". The record is from RNAcentral. Lineage: Eukaryota; Metazoa; Chordata; Mammalia; Rodentia; Muridae.